Molecule: non-coding RNA, 328 nt
Organism: Odocoileus virginianus texanus
Lineage: Eukaryota; Metazoa; Chordata; Mammalia; Artiodactyla; Cervidae
Source: RefSeq, a predicted model, not a curated record
UAUAAUUCACAUAUCAAAAAUUCAUCUUUCUAAAAUGUACAAUUCAGUGGUUAUUCUACAUUCUCAAAGUUGUACAACUGUCACCAUUAUCAAAUUCCAGAACAUUUGCAUUAUGCUUAGGGUUCCAAAAUUUAAAUUUAUACCGACGCCAUUUCAUCAAGUGUUAGGUACAGCUCUUUCAGUACCCCACCAUGCCCAAGAGAAACAGUAUCAAGCUGAAAAACAAUCUCUUGGAAUAUCAUAAGAAAUUCACGUUUUGAACUCAGAUCUGACUACCGAAUCCAUACUGCCUUCCACCACUCCUCUGUGUCAAUGUUCCAUGCUAUCC